CCAAAUUUAGUUUUAAGAAUAUUUCUUUGUUAAUGAAAAGGAUAAAUUUUGGUU
Molecule: transfer RNA, 54 nt
Filed under: Ardeacarus ardeae
Lineage: Eukaryota; Metazoa; Arthropoda; Arachnida; Sarcoptiformes; Pterolichidae
Description: tRNA-Asn
Source: RNAcentral